Molecule: ribosomal RNA, 1342 nt
Filed under: uncultured bacterium
Lineage: Bacteria
Description: 16S ribosomal RNA
Rfam family: Bacterial small subunit ribosomal RNA
Source: RNAcentral
GACGAACGCUGGCGGCGUGCUUAACACAUGCAAGUCGAACGGUAAGGCUCCAGCUUGCUGGGGUGCACGAGUGGCGAACGGGUGAGUAACACGUGGGUGACCUGCCCUGCACUUCGGGAUAAGCCUGGGAAACUGGGUCUAAUACCGGAUAGGACCGCACCGUGAGGGUGUGGUGGAAAGUUUUUUCGGUGUGGGAUGGGCCCGCGGCCUAUCAGCUUGUUGGUGGGGUAAUGGCCUACCAAGGCGGCGACGGGUAGCCGGCCUGAGAGGGUGGACGGCCACAUUGGGACUGAGACACGGCCCAGACUCCUACGGGAGGCAGCAGUGGGGAAUAUUGCACAAUGGGCGGAAGCCUGAUGCAGCGACGCCGCGUGGGGGAUGACAGCCUUCGGGUUGUAAACUCCUUUCACCAUCGACGAAGGGUUUCUGACGGUAGAUGGAGAAGAAGCACCGGCUAACUACGUGCCAGCAGCCGCGGUAAUACGUAAGGUGCGAGCGUUGUCCGGAAUUACUGGGCGUAAAGAGCUCGUAAGUGGUUUGUCGCGUCGUCUGUGAAAUUCCGGGGCUUUACUCCGGGCGUGCAGGCGAUACGGGCAUAACUUGAGUACUGUAAGGGGAGACUGGAAUUCCUGGUGUAGCGGUGAAAUGCGCAGAUAUCAGGAGGAACACCGGUGGCGAAGGCGGGUCUCUGGGCAGUAACUGACGCUGAGGAGCGAAAGCAUGGGGAGCGAACAGGAUUAGAUACCCUGGUAGUCCAUGCCGUAAACAGUGGGCGCUAGGUGUGGGUUUCCUUCCACGGGAUCCGUGCCGUAGCUAACGCAUUAAGCGCCCCGCCUGGGGAGUACGGCCGCAAGGCUAAAACUCAAAGGAAUUGACGGGGGCCCGCACAAGCGGCGGAGCAUGUGGAUUAAUUCGAUGCAACGCGAAGAACCUUACCUGGGCUUGACAUAUACAGGAUCGCGCCAGAGAUGGUGUUUCCCUUGUGGCUUGUAUACAGGUGGUGCAUGGUUGUCGUCAGCUCGUGUCGUGAGAUGUUGGGUUAAGUCCCGCAACGAGCGCAACCCUUGUCUUAUGUUGCCAGCACGUUGUGGUGGGGACUCGUAAGAAACUGCCGGGGUUAACUCGGAGGAAGGUGGGGAUGACGUCAAAUCAUCAUGCCCCUUAUGUCCAGGGCUUCACACAUGCUACAAUGGUCGGUACAGUGGGUUGCCAGUCCGUGAGGGCGAGCUAAUCCCGCAAAGCCGGUCUCAGUUCGGAUCGGGGUCUGCAACUCGACCCCGUGAAGUCGGAGUCGCUAGUAAUCGCAGAUCAGCAACGCUGCGGUGAAUACGUUCCCGGGCCU